This is a long non-coding RNA of Papaver somniferum (opium poppy), 3094 nucleotides long. RefSeq lists it as uncharacterized. Lineage: Eukaryota; Viridiplantae; Streptophyta; Magnoliopsida; Ranunculales; Papaveraceae. The transcript is spliced from 3 exons. The record is from RefSeq and is a predicted model, not a curated record.
CUCUUUCUUCCACGCCCUAAAAGAUCCCCAAAAUUCUCUCUAUUUCUUCUAACAGAGAAAUGAAGAAACAACAAGAAGAAGAAUAUAUGGAAGGAGUUGAUGUUGUUAGAAGAAGAAAAGUCGUUGUUAAUUCUAAAAAGUCGUUUCAAAUACAGAAUCAUGAGAAGAAAAGAAAAUGGGUUUGAAUCGGAUACUCAGUAUAGGGCGGAGUCGGAAAUGGAGUUUUUAUGGCAGGAAAGUUUGCUUGGUUCCAUCAGUUGAUCCCUUGUUUUAAUUCCUACCAUAUACCUGAUCAAUUGUUUAACCGAUCACUACCAUCUAAGGAAAUGUUAUCUGACAACUUCUCCAAGAUCUACUGACAGAUCUGGAGAGAAACUGAUCAGAAAGGCAUUAAAUAGUCGCUGUGAAGAUCGGAAAAAAGAAAUAAAUAAGAAAUCACAAGAAUAUAUAUCCAUAUCAACGCAAAACAACAACAUCAAUCUGUGCAUCGGAGGUGUUUGAAUUAUCUACCAAAGCAGCUGAAUCUAAUGAAAGAAGAACUAUGAUGAUCUAAGGGAAGAGAAUUUAUGUGCUUUCAGCUCAUUAUGAUCCAUGUAAAGAGGAUGAAGCUGUGCAGAAAAAACAUCUACAACCUUAAAGAGUGCAACUGUUUCUUGGACUAGAAUCUGUUGGCGCUUUUCAAGUAUGGUUUUCCAAGUUGCCCUAACUUUAAGAGUUGCUGUUGAACUGACUAUUUCCGAGGGAUUUGCGCUGACAAAGGGUUUCCGGCUUCUGAACAGCGCAGACUCAUUUGUAGAGGUUAGUGAUUCUGGCACAGGAGAACAAGUGCUUGUAGCUGCAAGAGAGGGUUCAUCUCGAGUGAUGCAUAAAGGAUUUGAAAGAGAGGUUUGCAAGGGUUAGUCUGAUGUCUCAUAACCCUGUCUCCGAGACCCUUGAAGGAAAUGGAUCCAAUUUCCUAGAUAAACUGAAGGUCUCAACUGGUGGCUUAGUUUGUGUUGAGAAACAACUCCCAAUGGUCGAUGUGUUUUUCGGGUGUAGGUUGUGAAGCUUCCUCUGGUAAUUACAAAGUUGCUUGAUGAAAGCUCUAUCUAAACAACAAACUGUUGGCGAUGCAUAAAGAAGAGAAUUCAGUUUUAGAUGAUAGUCCAGUAACACUUCAAAAACGGAUGAGGGAUGUUGUGCAGGAUCAUGCUGCGAGUGAAAAACUCGGCAAGGAUAAUGCUGAAAAAUGUAGAAAUGUGUGGCUUCAGUUUAUGUGGAGAAUCUGGGCUCUUUGACCUAGGCACGUUGGUCCUAAUAUUCUUCUUGUUCCAAAAGCCAAAGAAGAGAAUGAUCACCAUUCAGUUCUAACUCGAGGUUCUCCUCUUACAUCUCAAAGAUUAAGUUUUGCCGAUGAAAAGACUAGUGAUGAAGAUGUGGCUUUAGAAAAAUCUAAAAUCUGUAGAAACAAGCAGUUCCCUCUUUAUGGAGGAAGAGAGUCUCAAGAGCAGUGUUUUAUCUGGGUUUCAGCUUGCUACUAGAGCUGGACCAUUAUGUGAUGAGCCUAUGCAGAGAUCGACCUUUAUUGUUGAAGCUAAUGUUAUUCCAGUGGUUAAUCAAUCCGGUGAAUCUGUUGUUUCUACUUAACUUGCAGAAAAUCUUGGCUUGUAGAAGCCAGGUACCUGAACACCCCAACUGAACAUUUGAGCUCCAUGUAUGCUGUUCUGUCUAAGAGACCUGACCGGGUUUUGAAGGAAGAGAUGCAACAAGGGUCUUAUGUGUUCAUAGUGCACGCAUGUAAUUGAACAUCUGACUUUUGGAAAAAGAAAGAUGGAUGUCAAAAUUGGUAAAUGCAUGUGGCUAUAGUAACUGCAGCAUGUUUCUCAUAACUUCAUGUGGCUACAGUACUGCAGCGUGUUUCCCAUAACUUCUGAAUAUGGAGAUAACCCAAUAUUCUUGACCCUCAGUGUAGGAUAAUGUCUUAAAGCUGGACUCUACAAUUUACCCAGAAGAAGAUUUCAACGAUAUUCUUGAUGAAAAAGAGGAGGAUGGGGAACCAUUAGUAGAAUAUGUUGAAAUGGAAGAUGAUGAACUUGAAAUGGAAGAUGACGAACUUGAAAUAGAAGAUGACAUGGAAGAUUCUGGUCUUGAUGGUUCUCUUGAAGAUGAUGAUGAUAUUGGAAAUGAGGACGAUGAUGAAGAUACUGCUGACCGAAAGAGAUCACUAAAAGAGUCUGGAGUAGUGUGCUAGAAAAAAGAUACGUAUGAUGUUAAGUUGAGAAGGAAGAAGAGUCGGGUACAUGUUGAUCAGGUUGAGAAUGAUGCUGCUGGCGAAAGCCAGGCAAGAGUCCACUUGAGAAUAUCGAGUAGUAUAGGCUGUAUAAAUGACAUUGACCAGCUCACUUUAAAGCCCCGAUUUAAUUUUCUUGAUUUUAUAUGAGAAGAGAAAUUUCCUGUUUGGUCCAAAGAUCCGACCCGGGAGUAGUGUCUAGUCCAGCGGGAUAGAACAAUUAUCCGCUAGUCCAAAAAGGUUUAAAAUCCUAGAAAAUUACUAGCCUACCCUCAACAUUCAUGUGUGGGUUAAAACUGUCUCCUCCCACUUCUUCUUCUUCUGCCUUGAAGAAAAAACCGACUGCAACUCCUUCAUCUGAAAAACGAUUUCGGAAAUCAUUAAUUACAGAAAAAUCAUCAGUUCCUGACCUAAUCAAUUACAUAAAUCAUCAGUUCCUGACCUAAUCAAUUACAUAAUCAUCAGUUCCUAACCUAAUUUUUAUUCAUUCAAUUAAAGAGAAAAAAUGGUUAGAACUAUCAAGCGGACAAUUACAGAAGAAAUUGUAGAAGAAACCCAGGUAAAAAGAAGAAGAAAAAAUGUUGAUGAUUCACCAACACAAUCCUCCCCUGCGGCUAAAUCUCCGACAACAAGGAGUAUGAGUAAAAUUGGUACUCCGUCACGAACAAAUGUUCCUCAGGUAGAAGGUAAGCAAAAAUCAGAAGAAAGUAAAGCCUAAUUUUGUACUUCAUAUUGACAUGCAAUACUUAGAAAACUGUUGUUGAAUUUCAUAUUGACAUGCAAUACAUAUCAAUAUGUAAUGCUGAUGAAAAACUGUAGAUAUGU